UCCUCUUUAAACAUGAGCACUGGACGACCUGGCCACAGUGGGCCUAUAUACUCCAGCAUUUUGUGCACCCUGAUUGGACUUCUCUUUGAUUAACCUUUCUUUUUCUUUUUCUGUGUGUGUGUGUGUCUAAUCUAAUUCCUUACAGCUGCAAUAUAUUCUGUUUUUCCUUGCAGUUCAGCUGCUAUAAAGAGACAGUGCCCGGCCACCCAUACAGCAUUCCAUUGUGGCAGACAAUGGACUGGUGAAAUGCAACGUAGACAGUCUGAGGACCCUGUGCAAUGGAAACUCCAAUUGAAAUUGUACAUAGUCACUAACAUUCUACCUAUUCAAGGGGGCUGAAGACAGAGUCUAAGAAAAAGCUCUGGCCUUCCAUCUGCCUCUGUUUUGUUUUGUUUCUCAGACUCUUUAGAUGGAUGAGGGUGGCCUGUUUAUUGACUUCACCUGAGCUUCCAAUGGCUAGCUUGGCAUUAUUCUAGAAACCUGGCUUCACUAAAAUAAAUAAUAAUGCAGCAAGCCACACAAAAGGAAUCUCUUUCUUCUUCUGCCCACAGAUUCCUUUCUCAAAAGCCAUUCUAAGAAAUAAUCCAAUUCUGUCUCAAAUAUAAGGGCUUUCAUUCUCAGUCCAUUAUACUGUUUAUCUUGGGAAUUUCUUUCCAGUUUUAGGUUUUUGUUUUUUUUUUUCUACCCAAAGUUAAGCACAUGGCUUGCACUGUGAGGAAGAUUGUACUAGUGGUAGGAAAUAGACCACCAUCUUGGUAUUGUGAUCAAGCCACAUGGGUUCUGGGCCCCGCGCUUUGUAAGCAUACUUGGCAGAGGAAAAUAUAUUUGUACUAAGAGGCAAAUUAUCCACAGUCAAAAUGACUAAUCAUUGUUUAACUUAAAUGUGAAAGAUAAUGGAGAGAGGAAUGUAGCAUUUGUAAGGAACUGAAAGACUGAAUAAUGUAUUAGCAGGUGAGGUGUGGGCCUGUGAGUAUGGACAUAUACCCAUGGUAUGUUUGUGUGUGGGGUUUAUGUAAAACAUAGAAAGACAUAUCUACUUCUGCAAAAAUAAAUCAAGAAAAUAUGCUAUCUACUGCUACACUAGCAUCACUACAGCACCACUAUUAGCUGCUUUAACAAACAACCCAGGCAAGCUCAGUUUUUCUUAAUUCCUUUAAAAAUGUUUUAUAUAUUUGAAAUAUCAUAUAAUGGUAUUUUGCUGACAAAUCAUAGAAUCAAAUGGCAAAAUUUUUAAACACAGAUAAAAAAUUAAAACCAUGGUGCAACACAUAACACUAUAAAAUCUCUACUUCUGACUACUUCACAAUUUAAAGUGGUGGUUUGUUAUGCGAAUAAAACCUAUUUUGAAUUUGCCCUAUGAAAAAUGACACAGAGAUCAAUAGUAAACUUUUUGGUGCUU
Molecule: long non-coding RNA, 1399 nt
Filed under: Homo sapiens (human)
Lineage: Eukaryota; Metazoa; Chordata; Mammalia; Primates; Hominidae
Description: non-protein coding lnc-SARAF-3:1
Source: RNAcentral